CCUACGGGAGGCAGCAGUGGGGAAUAUUGGGCAAUGGGCGCAAGCCUGACCCAGCAACGCCGCGUGAAGGAAGAAGGCCUUCGGGUUGUAAACUUCCUUUGACAGGGAAGAGAAGACGACGGUACCUGUCGAAUAAGCCACGGCUAAAUACUUGACAGCAGCCGCGGUAAUACGCAGGAGGCAAGCGUUGUCCGGAUUUACGGGGUGUAAAGGGCGUGUAGUCGGGCUGACAAGGCAGAUGUGAAAUCCGGGGGCCCAACUCCCGAACUGCAUUUGAAACUGUUGGUCUUGAGUAGCGGAGAGGCAUGCGGAAUUCGUGGUGUAGCGGUGAAAUGCGUAGAUAUUAGGCGGAACCCCGGUGGCGAAGGCAGCCUGCUGGACGCCAACUGACGGUGAGGCGCGAAAGCGUGGGGAGCGAACAGGAUUAGAUACCCGUGUAGUC
Molecule: ribosomal RNA, 442 nt
Filed under: uncultured bacterium
Lineage: Bacteria
Description: partial 16S ribosomal RNA
Rfam family: Bacterial small subunit ribosomal RNA
Source: RNAcentral